CGUUAAAUGGAUAACUGUAAUAACUCUAGAGCUAAUACAUGCCUCGAUGCUCUGACCCCGGUUGUUGCCUUGCGGCAGCGAGUGGGGGAUGGGUGCACUUAUUAGAUCAGAAGCCAACCAGUCCGCUGACUGCACGCGUGUGUGUGUGUGCGCUUGCAUGCAGGCAGGCAUGCAUGCGUGUGGACGUGUGUGUGGGCUGUGAGAGGAGACUUCUGGUGACUCUGGAUAAUUGUUACAGAUCGCAGUCGGCCUUGGGUCGGCGACGGGUCCUUCAAAUGUCUGCCCUAUCAACUGUCGAUGGUAGGUGAUCUGCCUACCAUGGUGAUA
This 327-nucleotide ribosomal RNA is filed under the name Hydatigera taeniaeformis. RNAcentral's name for it is "SSU rRNA". It matches the Rfam family "Eukaryotic small subunit ribosomal RNA", at positions 133 to 354 of the family's 1831-position model. Lineage: Eukaryota; Metazoa; Platyhelminthes; Cestoda; Cyclophyllidea; Taeniidae. The record is from RNAcentral.